RNAcentral lists this ribosomal RNA (501 nucleotides) under Hyphomicrobium sp. RNAcentral's name for it is "partial 23S ribosomal RNA". It matches the Rfam family "Bacterial large subunit ribosomal RNA", at positions 2016 to 2528 of the family's 2925-position model. The record is from RNAcentral. Lineage: Bacteria; Pseudomonadati; Pseudomonadota; Alphaproteobacteria; Hyphomicrobiales; Hyphomicrobiaceae.
CUGUCUCGGCCAUGAGCUCGGUGAAAUUGUAGUAUCGGUGAAGAUGCCGAUUACCCGCAAUGGGACGAAAAGACCCCGUGAACCUUUACUAUAGCUUAGUAUUGGCUUUGGAUAAGUAAUGUGUAGGAUAGGUGGGAGACUAUGAAGUGGCGUCGCUAGGCGUUGUGGAGUCAUUGUUGAAAUACCACCCUUUGCUUAUCUGAUGCCUAAUUCCUAACGGAAGACAGUGCUUGGUGGGUAGUUUGACUGGGGUGGUCGCCUCCAAAAGAGUAACGGAGGCUUCUAAAGGUUCCCUCAGCACGCUUGGUAACCGUGCGUAGAGUGCAAUGGCAUAAGGGUGCUUGACUGAGAGACCUACAAGUCGAUCAGGUUGGAAACAAGAGCAUAGUGAUCCGGUGGUUCCGCAUGGAAGGGCCAUCGCUCAAAGGAUAAAAGGUACUCCGGGGAUAACAGGCUGAUCUCCGCCAAGAGCUCAUAUCGACGGGGGGGUUUGGCACCUCG